GCCGCUGCAGGUGCCGCAAGGCCGCAGGGGAGGAAAGUCCGGGCUUCACAGGACAGGAUGCCGGAUAACGUCCGGUGGGGGAAACCCUAAGGAAAGUGCAACAGAAAGUAUACCGCCGGCCUUCUCGGCCGGUAAGGGUGAAAUGGCAGUGUAAGAGACUACCGCCUGGCUGGUAACAGACAGGGCAUUGUAAACCCCAUCCGAAGCAAGACCAAACAGGAACGAUACGGUCGUCCGCCGUGUUCCAGGUAGGUCGCUCGAGCCUUCCGGCGACGGGAGGCCUAGAUAGAUGGCCGUUCACGACAGAACCCGGCUUACGC
RNAcentral lists this RNase P RNA (320 nucleotides) under bovine gut metagenome. RNAcentral describes it as "Bacterial RNase P class A". It matches the Rfam family "Bacterial RNase P class A". Rfam says of the family: Ribonuclease P (RNase P) is a ubiquitous endoribonuclease, found in archaea, bacteria and eukarya as well as chloroplasts and mitochondria. The record is from RNAcentral.